RNAcentral lists this ribosomal RNA (482 nucleotides) under uncultured bacterium. RNAcentral's name for it is "partial 16S ribosomal RNA". It matches the Rfam family "Bacterial small subunit ribosomal RNA", at positions 28 to 507 of the family's 1533-position model. The record is from RNAcentral.
GACGAACGCUGGCGGCGUGCUUAACACAUGCAAGUCGAACGAUGAAGAAGAGAAACGCGAACUUCGGUUCAAAUUUCACUUCGGAUUAGUGGCAGACGGGUGAGUAACGCGUGAGCAACCUACCUCUUACAAAGGGAUAGCCUCGGGAAACCGUGAUUAAUACCAUAUGACACAUUCAUAAGGCAUCUUAAGAAUGUUAAAGCUACGGCGGUAAGAGAUGGGCUCGCGUCCCAUUAGCUAGUUGGUGAGGUAACGGCUCACCAAGGCGACGAUGGGUAACCGGCCUGAGAGGGUGAACGGUCACAUUGGAACUGAGACACGGUCCAAACUCCUACGGGAGGCAGCAGUGGGGAAUAUUGCACAAUGGAGGGAACUCUGAUGCAGCGACGCCGCGUGAGCGAUGAAGGAAUUCGUUUCGUAAAGCUCUGUUCUAUGGGAAGAAAAGGACUGUACCAUAGGAGAAAGCCCCGGCUAAAUACGUG